AACUAACAAGGAUUCCCCUAGUAACGGCGAGUGAAGAGGGAAGAGCCCAAGAUUGAAAGCUGGCGUCUUCGGCGUCCGCAUUGUAAUCUCAAGAAGUGUUUUCCGUUUCGGACCAUGCCUAAGUCUCUUGGAAAAGAGCAUCAUAGAGGGUGAUAAUCCCGUACAUGGCAUGGAGCGCCCGAGACUUUGUGAUACGCUUUCUAAGAGUCGAGUUGUUUGGGAAUGCAGCUCAAAAUGGGUGGUAAAUGCCAUCUAAGGCUAAAUAUUGGGGAGAGACCGAUAGCGAACAAGUACAGUGAUGGAAAGAUGAAAAGAACUUUGAAAAGAGAGUUAAACAGUACGUGAAAUUGCCAAAAGGGAAGGGUAGGAGGUCAGAGAUGCGUUCUGGGAUUCAGCCUUGCUUUUGCUUGGUGUUUUUCCCAGAUGGCAGGCCAACGUCGGUUUUGGGCGCUGGAGAAGGGUGGAAGGAAUGUGGCACCUCUCGGGGUGUGUUAUAGCCUUCUACUGGAUACAGUGACCGAGACCGAGGACAGCAGCGUACUCGCAAGAGCGGGCCUUCGGGCACCUUUACGCUUAGGGCGUUGGCAUAAUGGCCCUCUACCACCCGUCUUGAAACACGGACCAAGGAGUCUAACAUGUAUGCGAGUCUUUGGGUGGCAAACCCAUAGGCGCAAU
RNAcentral lists this ribosomal RNA (675 nucleotides) under Ustilago sparsa. RNAcentral describes it as "partial large subunit ribosomal RNA". It matches the Rfam family "Eukaryotic large subunit ribosomal RNA", at positions 63 to 720 of the family's 3401-position model. The record is from RNAcentral. Lineage: Eukaryota; Fungi; Basidiomycota; Ustilaginomycetes; Ustilaginales; Ustilaginaceae.